UAUAGAAAAGUUGGCCAAUGCUCAUGG
This 27-nucleotide non-coding RNA is filed under the name Mus musculus (house mouse). The record is from RNAcentral. Lineage: Eukaryota; Metazoa; Chordata; Mammalia; Rodentia; Muridae.